This is a long non-coding RNA of Triticum aestivum (bread wheat), 625 nucleotides long. RefSeq lists it as uncharacterized. The transcript has 2 exons. The record is from RefSeq and is a predicted model, not a curated record. NCBI's taxonomy places the organism in Eukaryota, Viridiplantae, Streptophyta, Magnoliopsida, Poales, Poaceae.
UACUACAGCCUAACUAAAGCUAGAGGUUGCUUGUUUGACCUGACCGCAUCUGUGAAGAUAUCGUGUGGCGACGGUGUACCAAUCUCGCUGCAUAUCUUCAUCCAUAAAUACAGCACCCGAGCGAGGCCUCCAAGCGAAAUCAAGUAGUACAACACAAAGCUCUCUAUCAGGAAUUCGAUCAGGAUCAUCGUCGUCCAUCAGUCGAGACGUACGUGGUUCAGUUCAACAGUACGAGAAUGAGCUCCUCGGACGACACCUGCGGCAAGAAGGCGUCGUGGCCGGAGCUGGUUGGGAAGUCCAUCGAGGAGGCCAAGAAGAUCAUCAUGAAGGACAGGCCGGAUGUGAAGAUCAUCGAGGUCUUCCCGGUCGGCACCGCCGUGACCGGGGACUUCAGGCCCGACCGUGUCCGCAUCUUCGUCGACACCGUUGCGGAGAUCCCCCGCAUUGGCUAGCUUUUGUUGAUGCCCCACCGUUUUAUGUGUGUGUGUCUGUAUGUGUUAUGUUCCUGAAUAAACCAUAGCUAGUGAGUAGUGACCAUGUAUGCAUACUACUCCUAGCUAUGUCGGUCGCUCUGUAAGAAUUAAAAUAAUCAUUAAACUUUUUUAUGGGAAAUAAUUAAAGUUGA